UCUCGAUCUCCUGACCUCGUGAUCCGCCCGCCUCGGUCUCCCAAAGAGCUGGGAUUACAGGCGUGAGACACCGCGCCCUGUCCGGCCUGUUAUUAUACAUAUGAUUGAUAUCUCGUGACUCCCUAAAAUGAAUACAACCAAGCUGUGCCCCGACCACCUUGGACCCACGUUGUCAGGAUCUCCGGAGGCUGUGUCAUGGGCCUGCGUCCUUAACUUUGGGAAAUAAGCCUCCUGAAAUGAUUAAGACUUGUCGUUUUUCUCGAUUGACAUCUGGUAAGCACUGAGAGAUCCUCAGUGAAGGUAACCCGGCCUGCAGCAGUUCGCCUAUUGAUCCUCGGUAUUGGCUUGGCACCUUAUUGCCCAAACUGGUAGGAUGAUUGCUGAAAUCUGGGACCUUGUUCCUCCAGGGAUCCCUGAUCUUCCAACGUUUUUCGGUGGGGGGUCUGAGGUUUAUUUGCUAUUAAAAAACUCCUUUUUUGGGAGUUCCCACUCGCUUCAUCAAGGAAGGCAAGCCUGCCUGCUUCUGCAUCGACAGAUAGCCGUCUUCAGCUUGAGCCCCAUCACUAGAGGAACCCUUAACAUUCAGGGAUGUGGCCAUAGAAUUCUCUCCAGAAGAGUGGAAAUGCCUGGACCCUGCCCAGCAGAAUUUGUAUAGAGAUGUGAUGUUGGAGAACUACAGAAACCUGGUCUCCCUA
RNAcentral lists this long non-coding RNA (695 nucleotides) under Pan troglodytes (chimpanzee). Its description in RNAcentral is "long non-coding RNA NONPTRT012855". The record is from RNAcentral. Lineage: Eukaryota; Metazoa; Chordata; Mammalia; Primates; Hominidae.